AGUUUGAUCAUGGCUCAGGAUGAACGCUGGCGGCGUGCCUAAUACAUGCAAGUCGUGCGGAAAGGCCACUUCGGUGGUACUCGAGCGGCGGACGGCAGAGUAACGCGUAGGAACAUACCCCAAACUGAGGCAUAACUGCUCGAAAGAGCAGCUAAUACCGCAUGUGAUCUUCGGAUUAAAGCUUCGGCGGUUUGGGAAUGGCCUGCGUCCGAUUAGCUAGUUGGUGAGGUAAAUGCUCACCAAGGCUUCGAUCGGUAGCUGGUCUGAGAGGAUGAUCAGCCUGACUGGAACUGAGAACGGUCCAGACUCCUACGGGAGGCAGCAGUAGGGAAUUUUCCACAAUGGGCGAAAGCCUGAUGGAGCAACGCCGCGUGCAGGAUGAAUGCCUUCGGGUUGUAAACUGCUUUUAUUAGUGAAGAAUAUGACGGUAACUAAUGAAUAAGGGUCGGCUAACUACGUG
This 460-nucleotide ribosomal RNA is filed under the name uncultured bacterium. Its description in RNAcentral is "bacterial SSU rRNA". It matches the Rfam family "Bacterial small subunit ribosomal RNA", at positions 10 to 507 of the family's 1533-position model. The record is from RNAcentral.